UGCGAGAUCGUCUAAUGGUAGGACGCGACCCUCUGGAGGUCGUUAUCUAGGUUCGAGUCCUAGUCUCGCAGCCA
This 74-nucleotide transfer RNA is filed under the name Patescibacteria group bacterium. RNAcentral's name for it is "tRNA-Gln". It matches the Rfam family "tRNA". Rfam says of the family: Transfer RNA (tRNA) molecules are approximately 80 nucleotides in length. Their secondary structure includes four short double-helical elements and three loops (D, anti-codon, and T loops). Further hydrogen bonds mediate the characteristic L-shaped molecular structure. tRNAs have two regions of fundamental functional importance: the anti-codon, which is responsible for specific mRNA codon recognition, and the 3' end, to which the tRNAs corresponding amino acid is attached (by aminoacyl-tRNA synthetases). tRNAs cope with the degeneracy of the genetic code in two manners: having more than one tRNA (with a specific anti-codon) for a particular amino acid; and 'wobble' base-pairing, i.e. permitting non-standard base-pairing at the 3rd anti-codon position. The record is from RNAcentral. RNAcentral also lists the same sequence under 1 other name.